Molecule: ribosomal RNA, 462 nt
Filed under: uncultured bacterium
Lineage: Bacteria
Description: partial 16S ribosomal RNA
Rfam family: Bacterial small subunit ribosomal RNA
Source: RNAcentral
GAUACACGCCGGUCGCGUGCUUCACACAUGCAAGUUGAACGAAGUUUUUCCUUCGGGCGAAUCUUAGUGGCGGACGGGUGAGUAACGCGUGGGUAACCUGCCCUGUACAGGGGGACAACAGCUGUAAACGGCUGCUAAUACCGCAUAAGCCCUUAGCACUGCAUGGUGCAUAGGGAAAAGGAGCAAUCCGGUACAGGAUGGACCAGCGUCUGAUUAGCCAGUUGGCAGGGUAACGGCCUACCAAAGCGACGAUCAGUAGCCGAUCUGAGAGGAUGUACGGCCACAUGGGGACUGAGACACGGCCCAGACUCCUACGGGAGGCAGCAGUGGGGAAUAUUGCACAAUGGAGGAAACUCUGAUGCAGCGACGCCGCGUGAGUGAAGAAGUAUUUCGGUAUGUAAAGCUCUAUCAGCAGGGAAGAAAAUGACGGGACCGGACUAAGAAGCGCCGGCUAAAUACGUG